GCGCCCGUAGCUCAGCUGAAUAGAGCGUGAGACUCCGAAUCUCAAGGCCAGGGGUUUAAGUCCCCUCGGGCGCACCA
RNAcentral lists this transfer RNA (77 nucleotides) under Bacillota bacterium. RNAcentral describes it as "tRNA-Arg". It matches the Rfam family "tRNA". From Rfam's summary of the family: Transfer RNA (tRNA) molecules are approximately 80 nucleotides in length. Their secondary structure includes four short double-helical elements and three loops (D, anti-codon, and T loops). The record is from RNAcentral. Lineage: Bacteria; Bacillati; Bacillota.